CCCUGAAAUGAGUAAGACUCGAGUGGGGAAAGUUUUCAAAGCAGCCGCAGCGGCAGCUCCUGGGGAAACGGAAGCCGCCGGCUGGAGGGAGCCUGGCCGGAGCCGCGGACCGGGCUGAACUGAACUCUGCCGGGGUGAAAGCGCAAGCAGGCAGACCUUCUGAAACUCUCCAGCCGCUUUGGGCUCAGCUGACCCAACCAUGUGGACUCUGCCCCUCCAGGUCAGGACCGGAGUUUUAAAAUAAAAAUGGAUGAUGUGACGUUACUUGAUCUUCUGGAGUGCCCCGUGUGCCUCGAAAAGCUCGAUGUCACAGCCAAAGUCCUCCCUUGCCAGCACACCUUCUGCAAACCAUGUCUCCAGAGGAUUUUCAAGGCCCACAAGGAGCUGAGGUGCCCCGAAUGCCGGACCCUGGUGUUUUGCAGCAUCGAGGCGCUGCCGGCCAACCUGCUGCUUGUGCGUCUCCUGGACGGGGUGCGCUCGGGGCCAGGCUCGGGCAGACGGGGCUCCUUCCGCAGGCCCGGCGUGCUGGCCUCGCAGGACGGCAGGAAAAGCAGGACUCAGCCCGGAGGUCUGCAGUGCAGCCCUUUCCGGCCGGUGCCGAACAUCAGAGUCCACAUGGAUGGGGUGCCUCGAGCAAAGGCCUUAUGUAACUACCGAGGGCAGAAUCCUGGUGACCUAAGGUUUAAUAAGGGAGAUGUCAUCCUCCUCCGGAGACAGCUGGAUGAGAACUGGUACCAGGGGGAAAUCAAUGGAGUCAGCGGGGUCUUCCCAGCCAGCUCCGUGGAAGUCAUCAAGCAGCUGCCCCAGCCACCCCCACUCUGCCGGGCCCUCUACAACUUCGACCUACGAGGCAAGGACAAGACUGAGAGCCAGGACUGCCUGUCCUUCCUCAAGGAUGAUAUCAUCACUGUGAUCAGCCGAGUGGAUGAGAACUGGGCAGAAGGAAAGCUAGGAGAUAAAGUGGGCAUCUUCCCAAUCUUGUUUGUAGAGCCAAACCUCACAGCAAGACACCUCCUAGAGAAGAACAAAGGUCAUCAGUCAUCCCGCACACAAAGCCUGUCCCUCGUGUCCUCAUCCUCCAGGGGCAAAGCAAGCAACACGCCCACCCUCCAAAGGGGCCCAGGGUCCCGGAGGAAGGGGCCUGGGCAGUUCUCCAUCACAACAGCCUUGAACACUCUCAACAGGAUGGUCCAUUCCCCCUCGGGGCGCCACAUGGUGGAGAUCAGCACCCCAGUGCUCAUCAGCUCCAGCAACCCCUCUGUGCUCACCCAGCACAUGGAGAAAGUGGAUGCUCUUCCCAGCUCUGUGGGGCAGGUCAGCACUUACCACCCUGCACCUGCCUCCCCGGGACACUCCACGGCCAUCGUCCAUCUGCCUGGCUCCCAGCAACACCUCUCAGCUAACAUGUUUGUAGCCCUGCACUCCUAUUCAGCCCAUGGACCCAAUGAGCUGGACCUACAGAAGGGAGAGGGCAUCAGGGUCCUGGGGAGGUACCAGGACGGCUGGCUCAGGGGCGUCUCCUUGGUGACCGGGCGAGUCGGCAUCUUCCCCAGCAACCAUGUCAUCCCCAUUUUCAGAAAGGCAUCUAGCUUUCCAGAUUCCCGCAGCCCUGGUCUCUACACCACGUGGACGUUAUCCACCUCCUCUGUGUCCUCCCAAGGCAGCAUUUCCGAAGCUAAUCCCCGGCAGAACCGUCCCUUCAAGUCCGUCUUCGUGCCCACCGCUGUGGUCAACCCCAUGCGGAGCACAGCCGGCCUGGGGCCCAUGGGACAGGGCUCUCUUCGCAAAGGGCGGAGCAGCAUGAGAAAGAGUGGAUCCCUGCAGAGACCCAUCCAGUCCGGGAUCCCCACCCUUGUGGUGGGCUCCCUCCGACGCAGCCCCACCAUGGUGGUCCGGCCUCAGCAGUUCCAAGCCUACCAGCCGCAGGGGGUGCCCUCCGCGGCCUCGGCAGUGGUGGCGGACGUGGGACCCAAGUCCGCUCCCACCGGGGAGCCCGCCCUCACGGGUGUCAGCAGGGGCAGCGACACCAGGAUCCACUCAGCAGCCAGUUCCCUCAUCAUGGAGGGCAAAGACACCCCCGUCAAGAGUGAGCCUCUACCAAAACCGCCGGCAUCUGCCCCUCCCUCCAUCCUGGUGAAACCAGAAAACUCCAGAAAUGGCAGUGAAAAGCAAGUCAAAACCGUGAGAUUUCAGAAUUACAGCCCUCCCCCCGCCAAACAUCAUACCUCCCAUCCCAGCACUGGAAAGCCUGAACAGCCAGCCACCCCGAAGGGGUCCCAGCCUGAAGCAGCCCCCUUGGGCCCAGAGAUGACCACUCUCUUCGCCCACCGAAGCGGCUGCCAUUCUGGACAGCAGACGGACCUGCGGAGGAAGUCAACUUUUAGCAAAACCAUGACCUCAGCAUCCACGGCCUCAGCCACGCAGACCAUGUUUCCCAGCAAAUGAAUCUACAGGUGGCUUUUCCUAGACCCCCAGAGAGCCACCUGGAGCCUCUGAUUUACUGUUGUGCUGAGUGGAACACGUCCUCAGAACCUGCAUUGGAAAUCUUCCCAGGAGGAACUAUCAACAACCGGAUGCUGAAGAGAACAAAUCAUCUGCUUGGAUGGAAACUGCUCCGUGCAGAGUUACAGACCGUGUGCUAUUCCUUGGACAUCAGGGAUGGCACAGGAAUACCAAUAGGCUGGCCUCCAAGACAGAGGGUAAUAGGAGAAAAAGCCAAUCUGUCUUCCCACAGUAUCAGUGGGUGACGGGCCAGGACAGAACAAGCAAAUGAGUCACGUGCUGUUACAGGUUACACCAGACUCCCAUCCCUCUUGUUAUUUGGAUCUGCUACCAAAGCCAAACUCUGUCUUGCCAAUUUCUCACACCUUAGCACCUAACUGACAAGUGAAAGGACUGGACAUCAAAUGCCUUCCAGCGCUGUGUCUGGCCAGUCUCUCUAGCUCAGAUUUAGAGCAGUGCAGGGGAUGGUAUAAUAUUCUCCUCUCAGGUAUUCAAGCCAGAGAGGCUAGUGCUUCUUCACCACGUCCCCAGGCUUCACCCCAUCCCCUGACUCCACCAUAUACGCGUUCUUUUCCUUUCCAAUUCUAUUCUGUCUUUCUGCCCUGACACUUUCUGAUCCAGAGGGUUUUUGUUAAAACACACCAAUCAAGGAAAUAAAGACUUAGUACACAAAGAAUCUCAGACCAGAAAAAUGCAUGAUGUCUUAAGAGAGAUGCCACAGAAUGCAGAGCUUCCUGAGAGGCUAUUUCAAGUCUAAAGAUAAAAAAAUUAGUUAUAACCAUACAUACUUUCUUGUUCAGAAAUAAGCCAUUUUAAAGAUGACAUUGGAAGAUAGUCUACCUUCGGUUUUUAAAAGACUAUAAUUUAAAAUGUAAAUUUUAAAUCGUGCUAACCUGAGAGAAAUACUACACAGAUAAAUGAAAUGCACAAAUACUCUAAGACUGAGCCAUAUGUUUUCAUCUUCUCCCCCAUUUUAAGACAUCAAUAAGAAUUUCAUUUCUAAAAGCACAUGCUUCCCUGAUUAUCAGACAAUAACAAGAAUGCAGCAUGAUUUGGAUAUGUUAGUGGUUUUAAAGUUCAUGAUCAGAAUUUUGCAUUGAAGCAUCCUCAGUCUUUCAUCCAGUCCUGCCGGUAAACAGGAGCAAGCAUCAGCCAAACUAUUAGUCAAAUAAGGAUUGUAUUUUGUGGUUACAGAAAUGUUUUCUUCUGUAUGAUGCUGUCACAUUCAGGGCUCAAACUGCACUCAUCUCUUAAUGGGAUGAAUAACUAAGACGUCUUAAUCAUGCCUUUCUUGCGGUUAACCUCAGGGGAAGGUGAUAAUAAGCAAAGAAGUCCUGCAGUAUUGGCUUUAUCUGCCAAGAGGUGAGUGAGAAGGCAAGAGGUAUCAGGAGACCACAGAAGGGAUAACGUAGUGAUGACAUCUCCUUCUCACACAGGGUCAGUGAUGGUGCUGCCAACAGUCUGUCCUCCCUUUUCCCCUAACUACUGUGACUGUGUUGGUUCCAUUUCCUCUGGGAGGAAUUUGGGUUUGGUUGGCUCCUCUUUAGCCUCAGCAGCAAUGAAUGUGUAGAGAUGCUGCCUUUAGAUUCUGGAAUGUACUUGUUAUGACCAGGAGGCCUUAUAGCCCAGCUAUAAAUAGAUUUCAAUGACUUCACUUUCCAGGGUAAAGUCAUAGAAGGUUAGAGGUGGAAGGACUUUUAGUUUUAUAUAUGAUAUAUGGAAAGGUUAUAUACAGAUAAGCCAUCCACACAAAAGCAAGUAGUGUAAAUUGGACAGGGUCGAGUGUGGGGGGCAACGCAACUUCUAAUCCCCAGAAACCGUGAGAUCACAUUGGCUGAUUAUAGCCUUGUCUUCAAGGCCCUCUCGCCUAGAUAUUCUUCUUCUGAGAUUGGCUUCCCCCUCUGACAUUCAGAACAGCAGGAAACCACCACUCCUCAUUUUGAUACUUGCUGUUUUUCACAUCUCUGGGCACUUUCCAUGGCUCAUAGUUUCAUAGAGGGUUUCAUGAAGAUUUUAGCUUUUCCUUGGAAACUGCUUAGCCAAAGAGCCAAAUAUUUUUCCUAAAGCACAAAAUGAAGAAUCUGAUGUUUCCAGCCGAACUGAGAAGCUUAAGAAAAGCUUCCCCAAUUUCCUAAAGUUUUCAUCUUUGGACUGUCAGCUCCAACAUUUAGAUUCCAAAUUGUCCUGGGUCACAAAGGGAUGCAGGUGGUGGGGAGGCAGAGGAGGACGAAUUAGAAUGAUUCAGCCCAGAAAUGACCCUGAGAAUAGUCUGCUAACCAUGAAGUUUGAGUUUCAUUUUCUGAAACUGUUACUUCUUAUUACUACAUGUUGGGUCAAGGGAGAGGGUGUUAUUUAGGGGAAAGGAGGAAAGGGAGAAAAAUGCACUCUUUCAUGGAAAUAUAGGCAACAAACCUGUGGACUCUUGUGUCUCUGGUGUUUUUUUAAACAGUUUUUAAUAGACCAAAAGAGAAUCUUUAUGAGAUAUGUAUGUGAAUAAUGUUUAUUAAAAGGGUGUAACAUAUUAUUCAUUAGGGACUAUUGUAUAAAUAAACUUUAGAGGUAUAAAAUAUAGAAACAUAUAGAAAUUAUUUUCUGGGACAGUGGACACUUAAGGACUUCCAAACUUUUCAUAUCUUUGUUCCAAAAAAGUAGUACCAGGGCUGGCAGCUUAUUUCGUUAGUAUCUUGCACUGUAAAGCCACGAAGUGUGGUGGGGUUUCAUUUGUUUGUCUUCUGGUUUUGUAAUUUAUAACAAUCUUUAUAAUAGAUUACUUUGAAAUGUUUAUUGCAUGUGUGUUGGUGUUGUGUACCCAUCCAGAGUCAUCAGAGAUCUAUCUGUUCCACACUUUGCAUCUUAGAAAACCAAAGGGAAUUUUCUAGCAAGAAGAAAAACACACAGAACAGCCUUCGCUGUUGGCUAACUCUCAGAUUUGUUCCGCCAACAGCAUCUUGUUAAGUCUGAGGAAGCGGGAAGCUGAGUAUCAGAGCUGUCAUCUCUCACCUAAACAUUUGAUGUCGGAUAACUUUUCUCUGGGGAAGGAAACACCUGUCUUUGUGAAGUCCUUUCUUCAUGGACUUGACAAGUUCUAGAGGAAACUGGAAGUCAGGGCCCGUAGCCUCCCUGCUCUAGGACCACUCUCCACCAUCGGUUUUCAAAGCACUACCACGUGUCAUUUCUGUUUUAUGUUCCAUGAUUCAGUGGCAGACUCAGUGCUUUUAGGACCCAGAGUUUUACUUGUUUGGGUUUGGGGCUCUAAUGAGGUGUUAAGUUUGCUCUGCUGCCCAGACUGAUCAGAAGCUGCAAAGGGCAAAAAGGGGCUCCCUUGCUAGAGAGGUUCAUUCGCACCUCUGAUCGCAGCCGAGAAAAGCACCGGGCCUGUAACUGGUGUGGGAAGUACCUCUGCUCUGCGCGCAGGGAGGGGUCAUCGUGUGAGAGCGGACAGGUCAUCCAAGACCCCUUUGCCAAAAAUCCGUGUUGUUCCCAGGUGACAGCUUGUGAAGCGUGGUAUGUGUUUUCUCAUGAAACAAUAAAACCGGUUAUUCUGACUUCAUA
Molecule: non-coding RNA, 6054 nt
Organism: Vicugna pacos (alpaca)
Lineage: Eukaryota; Metazoa; Chordata; Mammalia; Artiodactyla; Camelidae
Source: RefSeq, a predicted model, not a curated record